GGAGGGACGGGGAGACAGGAAUCAGGAGGAGCCUCUGACGGCCCUGGGAUCAGCAGGUGGUUUGGAGGAGGUGAUUCUUGCAGAACAAGUCACGUGGGGAGACCUGGCACACUUGUGAAUAGCUCUGUGAACAGCCAUGGGGGCCGUGAGCCACUGGGGACCAGCUGGAAGGGCCUUCAUUCCUCUCUCAACACCUGGGAACUGAGGCAGGACCCACGGUCCUGGGACGAGGUCUGGAAGCGCAGAACGGAAAGCUGAACAUUCCAGCAGACUCUCUUCCUGGGCUAGAAGUUUGGAUAUCCUUGGAGGCACUCAGAUUAAGUAAAAUUCCAAUUUGAAAAAUACCAGUCUCUUCUGGACAUUCCAAGAGGAGAGGGUCCAUUUCGCACUUCGGUCCUGGGGACGUGUCUAGCCAGCAGGUGUGGGGCUGAUGGUAGAAGGCGUGGGCUCUGAGGCCGGGGAGUCCACAGUCCUCGCCGUGACUGCUCAGCUGCUUUCUGGCUGUGGUCUUGGGAGGCUUCACUGCUCCACUUUGUUCACCCAUCUGUAAACUGGGGCUGAUAAUCAUGGCACCAUUCGAGCAGCUGUGCAGACUGAAAGAGGUCGUGCCUGGACGGCACGUGGCUCCAGACCUGGCCUGGAGAGGACGCUUGGCCUCCGCUCAUCAUCCCUGGGGUUGACCUCAUCGUGCUGUAACCAGCCCUGCUCUGUCCCUUGCUGGCUGUGUGAGCGUGGACAGGUUGCUAAAUGCCUCCUUUGGUUCUGAAUUUCUCAUUUGAAAAUGGAGACAACGGCACCUCUAUUCAGUGCUGUCCUAAGCUUGUGAGGCCGGUGGUGAGCCAGCAUCCGGUGCCUAGGGAGGGCGGGAGGUGCGCGGGGAGCACAGGCAGGGCCGGCUGUGUGGCCACCCUGGGGACGCGGCCCACCACACCUCACAUCUGUGCAGAAGCCUGCUCAAAAGUGAUUCUACUCUUUUCCUUAUUUGGGACAGUGCCUUUCCUUCCUUUCAUUAAAAAAUAAAAAAUCUCCAUGGGACAUAGAAUCCUAAGAGCCAGCCGUGGCGGGAGGUGGCUCUGUGGACC
RNAcentral lists this long non-coding RNA (1082 nucleotides) under Pan troglodytes (chimpanzee). RNAcentral describes it as "long non-coding RNA NONPTRT011030". The record is from RNAcentral. Lineage: Eukaryota; Metazoa; Chordata; Mammalia; Primates; Hominidae.